Long non-coding RNA from Prionailurus viverrinus (fishing cat), 3126 nucleotides. RefSeq lists it as uncharacterized. The transcript has 10 exons. Lineage: Eukaryota; Metazoa; Chordata; Mammalia; Carnivora; Felidae. The record is from RefSeq and is a predicted model, not a curated record.
UUUUUAAGCUGUAGCAGUUCCGGGUUUAGGCUCCGGGUGGGUCUUUCUCUCGUGCCACGUUGUGCUGUCGCUCGGUAAUUGGUUGACCUUCAGUUCGUUCUGGAGAGCCGCUCAGGGCUUUCCCUUGGAUUGUGCUGGCGCUCCGUGAUUGGUUUACCUUCAGUUUGUUCCGCGCGCUGGCGAGAGGGCCGCCCCCUUCCAGGGACAUCCUAACAUUCCAACCUCUUAUUGGUGAUAAUGGGCGAUGGAUCUGAUCUGGCUGCUUCCUGCGGUGUAAGGGCGAGGCCAUAGUAUGUGGGGUCUGAGGUUGGAAUGCGGGAAUAGGGCCGGACCACCAUCUGAUGAAAUGCGACCUGGGAAACUUCAUGAAUUCGUUUCCGUAGGAAACGGAGAAAACAAGGAGCUGCCCAUUCUGAGAGGAAAUCGUGUAAAUGAAACAGGAACUUUGGCAUAAAGAACGAUAGCUCCACGAGGACUGGGAUCUUUGUGGUUUUGCUGUAUUCACCCCACAGCGAAUCCAGUGUGUGUGGCGGUGUGAUUCCUUUCUGCCACGCUAACUCGCUCUGCAGCAGUUUCCGUGGGUGAGGAAUCCAGCCCAGCCUGACUGAAUGCCUCUCUUCAGAGUCUCUCCCAAGUCUGCAAUCAAGGGGUCAGCCAGGAUGGCAGCCUUCUCAAGGCUCAACGAGGGGAUGAUCCAAUUCCAAGGAUGAAAUGGAUUCUAGAGAUGGCUGAUUGUAAUGGCUACACAACAAAAUGAAUGCACUUAGGUCAGAAAUAAUUGUCUCCUCUUGGAAGCCACUGAUGGGACAAAACUUUGACAUGGAUCUGCAGAGUGAAAGGAAUGAUUCAGAGGACUUUGGAAGUAAAAUGCAUCUGGGAAUCCACAACCUUUGUUUCAUUUAUUUAUUCAUUCAUUUGUAUACAUUUAUGUAUACUCUUUCAUCUAUUUAUCCAGCCUAUGUAUUAGUUUUCUACCACGACAGUAACCAAUAUCACAAAUUUAGUAUUUUAAUAUAACACACAUAUAGUACCUUACAAUUAUGUAGGUUAGGAGUACAGGUGAAAAUCAAAGUAUCAGCUGGCUAGGAUCUCCCAGCUCAUGUGGAAACUCAGAAAAGAAUCUUGUAAAUUUAUAAACCCAUUCAGGUUGUUGCCAGAAUCCAAUUCCUUACAGAUGUAGAGUGAGGUUUUCACUUUCUUUCUCACGGCCAGCUGGAGAUUUCCCUUAGCUCCUAGAUAUCUGUCUCUGAUCCUUGCUUAUGGCCUUCUACAUAUAGGAACCAACAACUGGGCUGUCAUCCUUCUCAUACUUGGAAUCUCUCCGACUUCCUGUUACCAGGAUAAUUCAGGAAAUGGUCCACACCAUCUUAGGGUUCAUAAUCUGCAUUAUAUCUGCAAAGUCCCUGUGAAUGUAACACAUUCACAUCCAACUUCUCUGGAGGACCAUUCUGCUUACCAAAGCCAACAGUAAUUAUUGUUGCUAUGGACCUUUUCUAUUUUCAAUAAAUUCUAUCUCAAUGAAUGGAGGAGGAGGGCUGCUCAGUAACCUUGUCGAAGCCCUGCCAAGAAGUGACCUCUUAGCCACAGGUUUCAUGAACAACCUCACAUUUUAGCCAUUAAAAAAACAAAACAAAACAAAAAACAAAACUCGUUUCCAACCCUGAACUAUGUUAGUAGUUUUCUACUGGUUAUUUAAAAAAUUAUCAAAGUGUAUUUUUUAGCUUAUAGAAUCAUAAAUAGCCGACAGAAAUUGCACACAAAUAUAUAAUAAGGAUAUGACUUGUAUAACUAAUUUAUUGCUAAAUCUUCUACCUUGUGGGGAAGUGGGGAUUCUCAUACACUGCUACUGAAAGGUAAAUUUCUGGAGUGUGAUUUGGCAACAUAUAGAAAAGCCCCCAAAUAUGUAUAGUCUUUAACACAUAGAUUGUCAUUCCAGGAAUUUCUCUGAAAGAAAUAACAAUAGAGGGGCACCUGGCUGUCUCAAUCAGUAGAAUGUGUGACUCUUGAUCUCAGGGUCUUGAGUUCAAGCCCCAUAUUGGGUGUAGAGAUUACUUAAAAGAUAAAAAAUCUUAAAAACAUAUAUUUAAAAAAAAGAAAUAACAGCAGCUAUGGAUAAAGCUUUCACUACAAAUAUAGUCAAAUGAACAUAUAUGAAUGUAAAGUAAAAAAAUAACGAUAUAUAUAUGAAAAUGGUUACAAAUUAUGCUUCUUCCAUACAAUGAAAUGAUGUCUUAUGACAAAACUCGUUGACAGGUUUGGAGAUCUGACUUCACAGGGAACCUGUGUCCCCAAAUCAGGCCAAACCUGGGAGAGCUAGAUAGGGCCCAAAUUUUUCCUUGCCCAAUAAACAAAAGAAGAAAUAUCUACAUGGUGAAUCUGGGCCAAGUUCUAGUAUAAAUCAAGAAGCAUAAUUUCCCUUAUCCCUGGUGGGACAUAGUUGUGGUGAAAGACCUUGGACCGUAACAGGUCUUGAAAACUCCAGAACAUCACAGGCAACCUGCCCAAGUUUCCUGAGGGAGAAGCCAGACCGGGAGAGACUUUGUCGUCAUGAUUCCUAUAAGGACCAACAAUUGAGAACCUGGCAGGGCUUGGAAUUUUUCUACCCAGCUAAGAAGGCAACAACCCCAAGAUCCCUCCAUGGAAAUGGCGCUGAGUGUAUGAUCCUGCAGACAUAUUGCCACCAAAGGAAUACCUGCCUGAGAAGGACCAGAAGGAGAAAGUGGAGCCCAAUACAGGAGGAGUGGGGACCUAACGAUAUACUUUCAGGUGUCUCUCAGGGUCUCAGGUUUCCUAAUUGAAAUGUGCCGAAGCAAUUGAAAUGUGGUACCUCAGUGAAUUACUGUCAGACCCCGUAACCUUUUGACCAGCUAGAAUCUUGUCGUGAGAGGAGACCGUGUACGUUGGUGAAAGUUUAGAAGAAAGAAUCCCCCUUAUUCAAUCAACUAACAAAGACCCAUGGAGUACCCCGGUGGGGGCCCCAAAGAAGAUGCAAAGAAGAAAAACACAAUCUUUGCCCUGAAGGAGUCGUCAUCUUUUGAGGAAACAAAACAUCAUGUCAUAGUUCUACUGUAGUGAGCUCAAGCUCUCAAACCCAAUAAAAUAUGGGAUAUUCACCUCCUGUCAAAA